UACUUCCGUUUGUAUUGAUUUAGCCUUUCCGGUUGCUUACUCAGUUGAGCAUAGAGGCAAAGAUGGUGAGUUAAGAUAUAUCUUUUAAUUUAUCUAUGAAUUCUCAAGCAUCUGUCUAUAAAAUAUCUCUUUUUUUAUAAAUUAAUAUUUAACAAUUAAGAAUUUGUAGCUAUUUUAGAAAUUUUGUUUGAAUUUCAUUAGACUUUGCUCAGAUAUAUAUUGCAUUUUCCCCACGAGAUAGUUUAUUACGUUUGUACUUUGUUGUAAAUUAAUUUAUAAAUCUAGGAAAAAAUUUUUCAUUCCUCGAAUUAUUUCAUUUUCUGAUGUAAAAUAGACUGCUGAACAAUUAUACAUUAUCAUCACGCUAUUUUAUACAAAGUUUAAAGGAAUAUAUUUUUGUACCCCAUGCUUUCAUAUUGCGAAUUAAUAUCUAUGUAUACCGGUUGUCGCCUCGACGAACUUUUAAGACUAUUUACUAAGUAUGGAUCCUCGUCCGACUUACUUAAUAAUGUUUUGCAUGUUUCUACUAUAUAUAUAACUUAAUCUAUCGGAAUUUGAUGGCUUAAGCUUGGCUCCAUCUAUCCAUUUAUACAUAUGAGAGUGAUGACCACUAUGUGGACAACCCUUAUGCUAGAAGUAGAUCCGCUAUGGUCUUACCACUAAUACCUAAUUAAUCUAUAUUUUUGUUGCUUUCUUUUGUCUUGCUCGAUUACGUUCUGGUGUUUACUAAAUUUUUUUGGAGAACAUUUCUAAGUGGUAAGUGCAUAGCGGAUCUACUUAUAGCAUAAGGGUCAUCCCUUUCAUGCAUAUAUAAUACAAUAUACUGAACCUUCAGAUUUUUAUAUGCUAGACCACUGGUGUGAAAUUGAUGUUAGUUAAUAUCUAAUUUCUCACCAUCAUUUUAAAUAUAUAUAUAUAUACAUAUAUAUAAAAGACGGUCCAAAUAACAAUGGAGCAAGGUUUUAGAAAGAUGGAUUAAUUUUUUAAAAAACAUGUCCUUACAAGUUAAUGGCUGGCAGAGGUGUGUGUGUAUUUGGGAAACACGUGGAAAUAGUUAUUUUGUUGCUAUCCGGUUUACCAAUGCCAUGUGCCAACAAACAACAAAUGCUACCAUAUGCAUACGUACGCGACUCGGUUUCUUGGUAUUAAGUUCCACGUCAACUUACUAUCAAGCAUAGUGCGUGUGUCGUAUUAAGGAGAAUUUAGCAGCCACAUGAAAAACUACUACUUUGACUCAACAGUAGUAACUUUACACUACAGCCUCUCCUGAUCAUCAGAAAAACCUGUUGAGAUAUUGAACGGUGAAUAGGUUGGUGUUAUGCCCAGUGGCCUGUGUGUAGCAGUAUCGUGGUCAACCGCUACAAUAGCAGUGAUGGUGCUAUGGGAAAAUGCAGAGACGUAAAACUUCUUGACUAGGUUAUGAAAGGUAAAAGAUAGCGUCCAACUGUAAAUGAAACAAAUGGAUAGAAAAAUAGGUUAAAAAUUGCUACUCAUGAGAGCACACAGUUACUGUUAAUGAACCUUCAAAAUAUAUUGUCUGUUUGAAAAAUAAUCAAAUGUAUUUUGAUAUUUCUGUAUAAAAAUUGAUAUGAUGUUUAUUGAUCGUGGUGAAGGAUAAAAGACCCUAGUAGAAUUUGAACUUGGAAUUGUAGGGUACUGGAUUAAACUGUGUCCUAAUCAGAUUUUUUUUAUUGAUGAAUGAAUGUCUGUGCUAUUGGCAACCAUCUCCGUAGUUGGGCUUUUUUUUUCUCCUUAUUUGUUUUGCAAAUUUGAACAAGUUGUUGAUGGUGUAAUAAUUUAGAAUUGCACUGAUUUGGAUAGAGUUGUGAUGAUAUGUUUUAGUUAUAUUUGAUGAUGAAAUUUUUAAACUAGUUCUGCUGCUGAUGUUUUAGUGAUGACAAGACUUGCUGAAAAUAUAUCUACAACAGUCACACAAUUCUAACUUGUAAAUUCAGGCCACUGCAAUCAGUUAACUAUUACUGUUUGAAUUUACCCUCAGUUCAUUUAUGUAAGAGUGAACAAAGAAACUAAGCCAAAAUGUGGGAAUGGGUUUUCAUUUAUAUGAAGGUAGGCUGUAGUGAAUCGUGUCUUGAUUUUCUGAAUAAAUGCACCAAUGAAAUAUCAAAUGCUGCUAUGCACAGGUAUUUCCUAACUGCUUUAAAUUGCGACAAAGUAAAUGUAAAACGUAUUUGAUGCAUGUUUUCUAUGCUGGCAUGGGUGGACUCUUUGACUUGAGCUAGAGAGCUGCACCAGGUUCCAGUCUGAUUUUGCCCCGGUUUCUAUGGCUGGAUGCCUCCUAACACCAACCGCUUUACAGAAUGUGCUGGAUGCUUUUUAUGUGGCUGUGUGGUCAGAAGUUUGUUUCCCUAGCCAAAUGGUUCCAGUUAACAGUCCCACUGUGUGGCACCUUGCGGGAGUGUCUUCUAUAGCUGACCAAAACCUUAUGGGUGAAUUUGGUAGAUGAAAUUGGAAAAGCCCAUUCUGUUUGUGUCUCUGUUUUGACAUUUUUGAUACUUGUAAAAUUCCAAUAUUCUAUGAGAAUGUCUGGCCACGGGGGAAAUAUUACUUAGAAACUGAAGCUUGGUUAUAGGACAGGCAUCCAGCUACAGAAAAUCUGCUGCAGUUAAACUCCAUCCAACCCAUACAAGCAUGUAAAAGUGGACAUUAACCCUUUGGUGUUCAGACUACUCUGAAUAUAGUGCUUAUUUUUUCACAAUGUUUCAAAUUAUCUGACAUUGCUUUGUUUUGAUGAUGAUUGUUUAUUUUUAGAAUAACAUUGUAGGGUGGUUGCAAGAGGCUAGGUAUGGCCAGUUUAGGUGGUGAUGGUGCUGUGCAGAACCUUGCAUGACUGAGGUGUGGGUAUUGCCAUGUGCAUGUGGAUUUCACUUUAUGAUCACACGGUUUCUAGUUGUAUUGCACUGCAUGACACUGUAGGCAAGUGCCAACAUUUAACGGCGAUGUUCCAUGCUUGGCAUGGCUUGGACAAGCAAAUGUGAUUUGGCCAAGAGAGCUGGAACAAAGACCUCAAUGCAUUUCUUUCAACAUUCUAACAGCUUAAUUGAUUCUGUAACAUCUGGCUGUCAGCCAAUGCCUCGUUAGUGAAAUAGGAUCACAUUCGCGAAAUAUUUGCUAGUGGAUUAUGAAUAAAGUUUAUUAAACCACAUGAAUUCUAUCAGCUCUGUGUUUCACAAAACUUAGUGUGUGGGAGCCUAGAAUCAUUGAGUGGUUUUGAAGGAAUAGUAAAGUUUCUUUGUUGUAGUUGUAUUUUAUGAUGAAACUUCAAAACUAGUUCUGCUGCUGAUGUUUUAGUGCUGAUUACAUUCUCUGAAAAUAUGACUACAACAAUCAUCAUUAUUUUUAUUAUGACAGUGAGCUGGUAGAAUCAUUAACAUGCUGGACGAAGUGGUUAACAGUAUUUCGCCCGUCACUGUGUUCUGAGUUCAAAUUCUGCUUAGGUCAACUUUUUUCAUCCUUUUGGGGUCAAUGUAAUUGGCUAGUGUCCCAUCCCCCCCAAUUUCAGGAUUGUUAUUAUUAUUAUACUGGUGUCUUUUUAAUAACUUUUUAGCAUUUAAACUUGCCAUAUCUGUCAUAAAUACUCUGCUUGGUUCAAACUGGUCAGAUCCAGCCUUUCACCUAAGCCUACAAUGCUAUCCUUAAAGUAAACAAUCGCAUCAGUGAAAUCUCAAAGCUAUGAGAUAAGCGCAUGAUUAAUUUACGGUAAUGUGACUAAAUAAGCAUUACAUUUGAUAGUGAUCUGAAUGCUAAAUGUUUAGGGAAUAUGUUGAAUGCCAUUUGUUCCUAGUCAGGUUCUUGUGGCAAAUUAUCCUUGAAGGUAAUUGGGUGUUAUUAAUAAUCUAGGUCUAAAUUUAAUUCCAUGCUGUUUCAAAAAAAUUCUGGAUUGUCACCAAACCUUUUCAUGUUUGAUAUUCAUAACUCACCCAUAAAGUGAAAUAGUAUCUUUUUGGUUUUGUAAACCCUUUCAGACAUUAUGUGCCUUGUGCUAGAUAUGAUCUUCAAAAGACUAUUGAUUAAAAAGAGAUCUGGUUGCUGUUUCUAUGUUGACCCUUUUGUUAACGUAUUUUUGUUGAAAUAUGCUGCGUUUGUUUCAGUUAUUCAGAAUAACAGAAUUUAGUGCUGUUUGGAACAAAUUAGCAUGUGGUUUGAUAAGAGAUCUUAAUUUAGAUCACAUUAAAACAUGACGCUUGUAUCACAGAAUCAAGGACUUCUCUGGUAGUCAUAGAAAUAACAGAUUUUGGCUUAGUGUGAAACAAUGUAAGGACUGCUGGAAUUUCUGAAAUACUCUUUUGUUACAAGAGAGUUUAUUUUAUUUGUUAGCUAAUUAUUUUGAAUUUUGCUGCAGUUAUAUUUGAUGAUGAAAUUUUAAAACUAGUUCUGCUACUGAUGUUUUAAUGAUGAAUUACUUCUGCUGAAUGUAUAACUGUAACAACCACAGCUUUUCCAGCUUCAUAUCUGUGUUUUUGUAGGUUCAAAUAGUUUAAGUUAAUUUAAAUUUCACUACUAGGCGUAGGAGUGGCUGUGUGGUAAGUAGCUUGCUUAUGAACCACAUGGUUCCAGGUUCAUUCCCACUGCAUGGCACCUUGGGCAAGUGUCUUCUACUAUAGCCUCGGGCCGAUUAAAGCCUUGUGAGUGGAUUUGGUAGACGGAAACUGAAAGAAGCCCAUCGUAUAUAUGUGUUUGUGUGUCUGUGUUUGUUCCCCCAGCGUCGCUUGAUGACCGAUGUUGGUGUGUUUACGUCCCUGUAACUUAGCGGUUCGGAAAAAAGGGACCUUUAAAAUAAGUCCUGGGGUCAAUUUGAUCGACUAAAGGCAGUGCUCCAGCAUGGCCACAGUCACAUGACUGAAACAAGUAAAAGAAAGAGAGAAUUCAUUUGCCUCUUCAAUGAAAACUUGGUAAAUGUAUGAGAGAUGAAUAGCUGAUGACUUCUCCAUUUAGCAUUUUUAUAUCAUUCAUUGUAUCAAAAUAGUCCAAGUUGCUCACCGUAGCCAUCUUCAUAGACCAUAAUCUACUUUUCCCUACUCAUCUUUUAUGUUUCUCUUUUUUUGUCACCUGUAAUUUGUUAAUUGCUUUUCUUACCUUGUAUAGGGUGCCCACAAGUCUUUUAGAACAAAAAUGAAGUUGGCGAAGAAAAUGAAACAGAAUCGCCCUGUCCCACAGUGGGUGAGAAUGAAGACUGGCAAUACGACGAGGUUAGUUUUCUAUAUAUUGUAUAAUGUUGCUUAUGUAACAUAUAAUCAUAGUAUUGAGUCUAUUAUGUAUUCUCUGUCCUUCUGCUGCUAUCAUUCACUCUUACCAUCAGUUGUCUUCCUUGUUAACCCUCUCCGCCCUCAUCAUGCUCAAUACUCUUUUCUUUCAUUCUCUUCUGUCAUUUUUUUAAUCCAUUGUUUUGAACGAAUAGCUACAUAAUGCCAGACUAGUCUUUCGUCUGACAAAGGAACCUCUCUACAGGUACCAUAAUAAAAAUGCUUCCAGUGUUCUCUGUAAAAUGGUUGUUAUGCAGGAGAUCCGGCUGUGGAAAUCAUGUUGAAAUUUUGUCUGGGUGUUUAUAUACCAGUAGAUUAUGGUUAUGUAAUUGUAGCUGAUCUUAAUAGCAACAGCAUUAUGGAUAAACUGAUAUCCUUAAUGCAUCAUACCUGUUUGAUUUGUUACUAAAUUUAUCCCGAAAUUGUUGGCAGUUGGCACUGCCAACAAUUUUGCCACUUUUCAAGAUGAGGUACAUUAAUUUGAAUUAAUUGAAAUACAAGUAUAAUCAGUAUGAGAUUAUAUUCUUUCCUUCUAUUUCAUUCAAACCAUUUUCAUUGAGAAUAAAGUUCAAAACUAUUUUACUAGUCAAUAUACCAUUGGCUAUGUACCCCAAUACAAUUUAAUGAAUACAUUUACAUAACAGAAUGCAUCUACUAAAAAAAAAAAUACUCGUUAACAGGUGAAGCAAAGGUAAAUACAAGUGUGAAACAUACUGAAAAUUAUGCAUUUCUCACUUUCACAUUAUUUGUAAUAAAAUGAAAGGAACAUGCGAAGUAUCGGCAUCAAACAAAAUACAGUUAUGCCAUAUUUCUGUCGUGAAACUGUCCAAAGCACCUUUUACACAAGGGCACUUUGCAAAACAAACACAUAUAUGGGAUCUCGACCUGAUGUCCUUUUGCAGUUUUUCUAUCUUGCUUCCAUUUUAUGAAAGUUAAUAUUUUCUCUGACAUCCACCUCAGUUAAUGUUGCCUUUCUUCUAGUUCUGUGCUUUCUGGAAGAAAAGCUUUCAUGUAACUAGAGAUGUGAUGUCAACCUGAAAUAACUAGUUAGACAUAAUACUGGAAACAUGGAUCACCAUACUUUAUAUCAGGGUACCAGUAGUUCCACAGUUGAGGUGGCUGCUUGAUACCAAACAUAAUGUUUAUAGUAAAAAAAAAAAAAAAAAAAAAUUUCACAUUUCUGCAGUAUCAGUUGGCUGCCAUAGCGGAUUUGGUCUUCCAUGAACAGGAGUUGUGCAUUGAGCAUUUGUUUCCUCCACAACAGUUUCAGAAAAAACUUUUCGGUAAAAUUAUAAAAAGUAGUCCAGUGGUUGAGCAUCGAGAAGUUGACUGUAUUACGAACUAGUCUUUUCUGUGAAAUUGGGAAUUCUUGUUGAUGUAGUAAUCUUCAACCAUGUUGCCAUAAUGUUUUUGAUGUCACUUUCAUUAUCAAAAUCUUCCUCGUCUGAUGAAGAUUCAUGAAUUUCAAUAUGAUAUAUCCAAAGACAAAUCAUUGUUGCUUUCAUUUAUAUUUUGUACAUCGAGAGUAAAACCUUCAAAGUUAGGAUUGCUACUUGUUGGUGCUAUAUCAUUAAAAACUAAGAUAGACUCUUCUCUUCAAACGUUAAAAAAAACAAGGAGUUUCAAAUUAAACGUAUUUUUACUUAAAUGAAGGCAGGGAAAGGAUUCGUCUUGCAUUAUCUCAAAGCUAUGAGGAUUCAGUGAUGUGAUUUGCUUAUUUUUUAGCAAGUUCAUAGAGAAAUCAAAUACGGCCGGAUUUGGCUGGGUUGAACAGAGGGGAAUGAUUUUCGGACGGUUAGGGCCAGUCUAAACACUAAAGGGUUAGCGUUUGCAAGCAUGAAUGGCAGAACACUAUGGCACUUGGUAAAAACUGAGUAUAACAGGGGUCAGAUUGAUGUGACCUGAUCAUGUGAUGCAUAACAGUUGAGUUAGAAUAUGUUGCAUAAUGCAAGUGAUGGAAGUUGAACUUGACUGUUUACAACCAACAGCUGUAAUAUGUGUGUGUGCUGGGAGAGUUUGUCCUACCCUUGCAAGUAGGAGAUGGUGAUAGUGGUUUGUGCAGUUGAUCAUGACUAUAUGUUUUUUUAUUUUAUUUCUUUCAGAUACAAUGCCAAGAGGAGACAUUGGAGGCGUACUAAGCUGAAGAUGUAAGGAUGGAAAACAAACAUUUACCAUUUUGGUUACAGUUGCUUGUUGGACAUUCUUGGUUUCUCAAACAUUGCCAAAAUAAAUGGACUUCAUAAACCCAUAAUUUGUCUUUUCUUGAUUUCACUCUUACAUUGGUGUG
This 7548-nucleotide long non-coding RNA is filed under the name Octopus vulgaris (common octopus). The record is from RNAcentral. Lineage: Eukaryota; Metazoa; Mollusca; Cephalopoda; Octopoda; Octopodidae.